Molecule: ribosomal RNA, 497 nt
Filed under: uncultured bacterium
Lineage: Bacteria
Description: partial 16S ribosomal RNA
Rfam family: Bacterial small subunit ribosomal RNA
Source: RNAcentral
GAUGAACGCUGGCGGCGUGCCUAAUACAUGCAAGUCGAGCGAACAGACGAGGAGCUUGCUCCUCUGACGUUAGCGGCGGACGGGUGAGUAACACGUGGAUAACCUACCUAUAAGACUGGGAUAACUUCGGGAAACCGGAGCUAAUACCGGAUAAUAUAUUGAACAGCAUGGUUCAAUAGUGAAAGACGGUUUUGCUGUCACUUAUAGAUGGAUCCGCGCCGCAUUAGCUAGUUGGUAAGGUAACGGCUUACCAAGGCAACGAUGCGUAGCCGACCUGAACGGGUGAUCGGCCAGACUGGAACUGAGACACGGUCCAGACUCCUACGGGAGGCAGCAGUAGGGAAUCUUCCGCAAUGGGCGAAAGCCUGACGGAGCAACGCCGCGUGAGUGAUGAAGGUCUUCGGAUCGUAAAACUCUGUUAUUAGGGAAGAACAAAUGUGUAAGUAACUAUGCACGUCUUGACGGUACCUAAUCAGAAAGCCACGGCUAACUCCGUG